CUACGGGCCGCUGCAGUGAGGAAUAUUGCACAAUGGGGGGAACCCUGAUGCAGCAACGCCGCGUGGAGGAUGACGCAUUUCGGUGUGUAAACUCCUUUUAUAUGUCAAGAAAAUGACGGUAGCAUAUGAAUAAGCACCGGCUAACUCCGUGCCAGCGAGCCGCGGUAAUACGGAGGGUGCAAGCGUUACUCGGAAUCACUGGCGUAAAGGACGCGUAGGCGGGUUGGAAAGUCAGGUGUGAAAUCCUACAGCUUAACUGUAGAACUGCACUUGAAACUUCUAAUCUAGAGUAUGGGAGGGGGAGAUGGAAUUAGUGGUGUAGGGGUAAAAUCCGUAGAUAUCACUAGGAAUACCUAAAGCGAAGGCGAUCUCCUGGAACAUUACUGACGCUAAGGCGUGAAAGCGUGGGGAGCAAACAGGAUUAGAUACCCCCGUAGUC
RNAcentral lists this ribosomal RNA (439 nucleotides) under uncultured bacterium. RNAcentral's name for it is "partial 16S ribosomal RNA". It matches the Rfam family "Bacterial small subunit ribosomal RNA", at positions 339 to 795 of the family's 1533-position model. The record is from RNAcentral.